RNAcentral lists this transfer RNA (64 nucleotides) under Kaylathalia klovstadi. RNAcentral's name for it is "tRNA-Glu". Lineage: Eukaryota; Metazoa; Arthropoda; Collembola; Entomobryomorpha; Isotomidae. The record is from RNAcentral.
AACACUUUAGUUUAUCAAAACAUCAUAUUUUCGUUAUGAAAAUAAAUUUAUAAUUUUCGUGUUA